GCCCUGGUGGUGGAAUUGGUAGACACAAGGGAUUUAAAAUCCCUCGGCGUUCGCGCUGUGCCGGUUCAAGUCCGGCCCGGGGUACCA
Molecule: transfer RNA, 87 nt
Filed under: Vibrio parahaemolyticus
Lineage: Bacteria; Pseudomonadati; Pseudomonadota; Gammaproteobacteria; Vibrionales; Vibrionaceae
Also listed under: 3 other names
Description: tRNA-Leu
Rfam family: tRNA
About the family: Transfer RNA (tRNA) molecules are approximately 80 nucleotides in length. Their secondary structure includes four short double-helical elements and three loops (D, anti-codon, and T loops).
Source: RNAcentral